GGCCGAGUGGCGGAAUUGGCAGACGCACGGGACUUAAAAUCCCGUGGGGGGUAACCCCCGUGCGGGUUCGAACCCCGCCUCGGCUAC
This 87-nucleotide transfer RNA is filed under the name Maioricimonas rarisocia. RNAcentral describes it as "Planctomycetes bacterium Mal4 tRNA-Leu". It matches the Rfam family "tRNA". Rfam says of the family: Transfer RNA (tRNA) molecules are approximately 80 nucleotides in length. Their secondary structure includes four short double-helical elements and three loops (D, anti-codon, and T loops). Further hydrogen bonds mediate the characteristic L-shaped molecular structure. tRNAs have two regions of fundamental functional importance: the anti-codon, which is responsible for specific mRNA codon recognition, and the 3' end, to which the tRNAs corresponding amino acid is attached (by aminoacyl-tRNA synthetases). tRNAs cope with the degeneracy of the genetic code in two manners: having more than one tRNA (with a specific anti-codon) for a particular amino acid; and 'wobble' base-pairing, i.e. permitting non-standard base-pairing at the 3rd anti-codon position. Lineage: Bacteria; Pseudomonadati; Planctomycetota; Planctomycetia; Planctomycetales; Planctomycetaceae. The record is from RNAcentral.